RNAcentral lists this ribosomal RNA (483 nucleotides) under uncultured bacterium. RNAcentral describes it as "partial 16S ribosomal RNA". It matches the Rfam family "Bacterial small subunit ribosomal RNA", at positions 28 to 523 of the family's 1533-position model. The record is from RNAcentral.
GACGAACGCUGGCGGCGUGCUUUACACAUGCAAGUCGAACGGUGAAGGUGGAGCUUGCUCCGCCGGAUCAGUGGCGAACGGGUGAGUAACACGUGGGCAACCUGCCCCUAACUUUGGGAUAACUACUCGAAAGAGUAGCUAAUACCGGAUAUGAAGUCUGUAGGCCUCUACGGACUUGGAACGUUUUUCGGUCAGGGAUGGGCCCGCGGCCUAUCAGCUUGUUGGUGGGGUAGUGGCUCACCAAGGCGACGACGGGUAGCCGGCAUGAGAGGGCGACCGGCCACACUGGGACUGAGACACGGCCCAGACUCCUACGGGAGGCAGCAGUGGGGAAUAUUGCGCAAUGGGCGAAAGCCUGACGCAGCAACGCCGCGUGCGGGAUGAAGGCCUUCGGGUUGUAAACCGCUUUCAGCAGGGAAGAAGCGAAAGUGACGGUACCUGCAGAAGAAGCACCGGCUAACUACGUGCCAGCCGCCGCCGUAA